Myotis lucifugus (little brown bat) is the source of this 183-nucleotide long non-coding RNA. RefSeq lists it as uncharacterized. NCBI's taxonomy places the organism in Eukaryota, Metazoa, Chordata, Mammalia, Chiroptera, Vespertilionidae. The record is from RefSeq and is a predicted model, not a curated record. The transcript has 3 exons.
AGACAAGAGAUAAUUUGGGAAUAUUGGGGGGCCAGGCAGCUUUACAAAAGCAAUGAUGUGUGUUAGCUACGGAGAUACCUGUGUAGAGCUGCCGGUCGGCUGGACUGUCCUCCUGUGCACAUCAAAGGAAAGCAAAUUCCUCUGUACCUGGGAACCAGGACAGCACAAUUAUCCCAAGACCUG